Globicephala melas (long-finned pilot whale) is the source of this 4900-nucleotide RNA transcript. It is a transcript of the gene named solute carrier family 2 member 11, with no coding region annotated. Lineage: Eukaryota; Metazoa; Chordata; Mammalia; Artiodactyla; Delphinidae. The record is from RefSeq and is a predicted model, not a curated record.
GGUGAGAGGAGGCCGGGCAGAGGGGCCGGAAGGGACGGCGGCGGAGGUCCAAAGGGGAGCGCAGCAGUGACGGGCUGAGAGUCACUCCGGAGGCGGCAGCGGGGGAGGAGACGAGGGGACUAGGGGCCAGGGCCGGGAUUUCGUGCGAGUCUGGAGCGCGCUGAUCAGAGCCGCCGGCCACGACAGGCGAAGGCAGAUGCAGGGGCUGGCCGUGAUGACUUCGGACCUGAGCCCCCUUCCGGUCUGCGGAGAUGGGCCACAGGCUCGGCCGAGUAAGGAGUCAGUGGCUUUUCACCUUCAGAGCUGCAGAAAGGGAGGGAUGGAGGAUGAACACGAGCCGCCGUUACAGCCUCGGACUCAGUUCCAGGGCAGGGUCCUGCUGCUGACCAUCUGUGUGGCUGGCAUUGGUGGGACUUUUCAAUUUGGCUACAACCUCUCCAUCAUCAAUGCCCCGACUUCGUACAUUCAAGAAUUCACCAAUGAGACGUGGCGGAUGCGAACUGACCGGCCGCUGCCCGACCAUCUGGUCCUGCUUGUGUGGUCCCUCAUCGUGUCUCUGUACCCCGUGGGGGGCCUUCUGGGAGCACUGCUUGCUGGCCCCUUGGCCAUCACACUGGGGAGGAAGAAGUCCCUGCUGGUGAAUAACAUCUUCGUGGUGGCUGCAGCGACCCUGUUUGGCUUCAGCCGCAGAGCAGGCUCCUUUGAGAUGAUCAUGCUGGGACGGCUGCUCGUGGGCGUCAGCGCAGGUGUGAGCAUGAACGUCCAGCCCAUGUACCUGGGGGAGAGCGCACCCAAGGAGCUCCGAGGGGCUGUGGCCAUGACCUCAGCCAUCUUCGCCGCCCUGGGGGUCGUGAUGGGUCAGGUGGUUGGACUCAGGGAGCUCCUGGGUGGCCCGCAGGCCUGGCCCCUGCUGCUGGCCAGCUGCCUGGUGCCUGGGGUGCUCCAGCUGGCCUCCCUGCCCCUGCUCCCCGAGAGCCCACGCUACCUCCUCAUUGACUGUGGAGACUCCGAGGCCUGUCUGGCAGCGCUGCAGCGGCUGCGGGGCCCCGCGGACCUGGCCGAGGAGCUGGCCGAGUUGGAGCGGGAGCGCGCCGCCUGCGAGGGCCGGCGCGCGCGGCGCCCGUGGGAGCUGUUCCGGGACUGCGCGCUGCGGAGGCAGGUGACGAGCCUGGUGGUGCUGGGCGGGGCCAUGGAGCUGUGCGGGAACGACACGGUGUACGCGUACGCGUCGGCAGUGUUCAGCCAGGCGCGGAUUCCUCCGGAGAAGGUCCAGUACGCCGCCAUCGGGACCGGGGGCUGCGAGCUGCUGGCGACGCUGCUCAGCUGUGUGGUGAUCGAGAGGGUGGGCCGACGGAUGCUGCUGAUGGUGGGGUACGGCCUGAUGACCUGCUGGGGGAGCGUCUUCACAGCGGCCCUGUGCCUGCAGAGCUCCCUCCCCUGGAUGCCCUACCUGGCCAUGUCCUGCGUCUUUGCCUUCAUCCUCAGCUUUGGCAUUGGCCCUGAGGGAAGAGCUUCAUGGACAUCUCAGAGGAAUUGCACAGACUCAACUUCCCCGGGGUGGAGCCAGGGCCCCGCAUGGACAGGCCGGAGGUCAUCCGGUCCACAGAACUCUAGCUCAGCAGUUUUGACAGGUGUACAUAUCCAUGAACCACCACCACCAUCAAGGUAGACCGGUCACAUCAUCUCCAAAGUUCCAUUGUGCCCCUUUGCAAUCAAUACUCUGCCCGACCCCAGGCCCUAGGCAACCGCGGACCUGCCUUCUGUCACUACAGGCAUGUGCGAUCUUAGUUCCUGGACCAGAGAUGGAACCCGCACCCCCUGCAUUGUAAGGCGAAGUCUCAACCACUGGACCACCAGGGAAGUCCCCAGAUGUUUUUAAUUUUAAAGAAGUUCAGCUUAUGAAUUCUUUCAUGGAUUGUGUUGUAUCUAAAAACUGAUCACCACAUCCACAGUCAUCUAGUGUCCACCAUUUUUUUUUUAAGCUGCACUGCGUGGCUUGCAGGAUCUCAGUUUCCCGACCAGGGAUUGAACCCGGGCCCAGUGAAAGCGCCGAGUCCCAAUCACUGGACCACCAGGGAAUUCCCUUAUUCAUUUACUUUUAAUGGAUGUCCAGUGGUGCUGGCACUGUUUGUUGAAAAGACCAUCUUUUCCCCAUUGCACUACCUUGGCACUUAGGUCAAAAAAACAAUUGAUCAUUGUUGUAUCAUAAAGAAUUUGUCUGGCUUUCAGUAGGAAGCAGUAACCGCCAAAUCAGCAGAAGCGGCAAGCAGUAGGUUCUCUGGGGAGCGAGAACUCUCUGAGUCGGGGUCAGGCGAGGUCUCAUGGAGAAGUCACCUGGAGCUGGCUUCCUGAGGACAGGCCCAGCUGGGGUUCCUUUGGAGGCAGGAGUGUUGAAGGAUGGGACUGAAGGCCUGUGGGUCCGGUAAACGCGGAGCUUUCUGGAAGGCAGGUGUCAGCACUCUGGGAGCCCUCUGUGUGUUCUCCCAGCUUCUCUCUGGCAACUGCCCCAUCUCCACCUCUGCUGACCUGCCUCCCCAGCUGGAGGGGAGGGGGAGAAGAUUUUGGGGGCCAAGGGCUCCCGGUGUGUGUGCGCUGUUGUUCAGCAGGUGAUUAUAGAGCCCCUGGGGAUGCCGGGGUGUUAAUGUUCUAUUGCUCCUAGAACAAAUUACCACAAAUCGAGCAGCUUAAAACAACACGUUUAUUAUCUCAGUUUCUGUGGGUCACAAUCUAGUACAAAGUGACUGGUCGUCUUCUUCAGGUCUCACGGCCGAAGUCAAGGCGUCUCCAGGUCAAAUAGGGAGGAACCCACUUCUGAGCUCAUUCAAGCUGCUGGCAGAAUUCAGUUCCUUGCAGCUGAACGACUGAGGCCCCUUCAUCUUCAAAGCCAGUAACGGCACAUCUGAGUCCUUCUGCUUCGAGGCUCUCUGACCGCCCCUCCUGCUGCAUCUCUUACUUGAGCUGGAGAAAAUUCUCUGCUUUUAAGGGCUCAAGUGAUUACGUUGGCCCCACCCAGAUAAUCCAUGACAACCUCCCUACUGUAAAGUCUGUAGCCCUAAUUACAUCUACAAAGUGCCUUUUGCCAAGUAAGGUAACAUAUUCACAGGUUCCAGGGAAUCGGGUGUGGUCGUCUUUGGAGGCCCUCCGCCUGCUACCUAGUAAUGGGUCAGAAGGUAGGCCACAGCAAUGUCCCCCACCUCAUGCAGCCCAGAAAGGAAGCAGUAACUCGCAAACAGAUAUGGUGACGGCCUUGAAGUAGAGGACCUGAUGGAGCCAGGAGCUCUGGGGCUUUCCUGACGAACUGAGCGACAGCGUUCCAGGACCAACGCCCAAGCCAGGAGCCAGAAGCCAGGAGCACGGGCCCCGAACAGUGGCUCACCUACACGGUGUCGCAGGUUAUUUGCUGGCAAGGCUUCAAUGUGUCACCCACUUCCACUAUCAGAGAACCGCCAACCAGGUGCUGGCUCCUGAAUCUUCUGGCUGGAGUCACUUGUGUCAGUUCUGUUCACAUUUCACUGGGCCAGGCAAGUCACAUGGCCAGAUCUGCUGCCAGUGGGUGGGGAGACAGACCCCUCCCCCAGGCAGGCCAGGCCAGGCCAAAGGUGGUGCCAGCUAACUUAGGCUAAGGCAGUGUGGGGGCCGGAGAAGUGAGGGUAAAGGGACAGUGGAUGGAGGUACAUUUCACUGGCAGGCGAUCAGGGGUGGGAGAAUAGUCAUGCACCUGGAUUUGGACACAGGUAGCAGGACAUGCGGAGUUGGCUGCUGGGGCUCGGAGGAGCACCCCGGGCUGGAGACAAUGCAUGGGGUGCAUCAGUGGUAACAGAGCCCUGGGCACAGGAAGUCUGCUGGGGUGUGGGAGUGGGGAGGGAUAUGACCUGGGGCCCACCUGGAGGGAUCCACAUUUAACAGAGUAUUUGCACAGCUGGGCCAUGUGACCUCCUGCCUGAGGCCGCCUGCUCCCACAGGCAUGGUGGCCUUGCUCUAUCACAUGCCCAGUGUCCAGGCCAGUGUGUGCUGUGCCACCUUAACCAGACCACACCUGCCAGAGACCAAGGACAGGACCUCCCUGGAGAGCUCUGAGACUUGGCCAAACCAGCAUGAGCCAAACCCCCUCGAGUGCCUGCAGAGCUCUGCUCCCCAGCACAGCCCCCCCACCAGGGUCUCCUCAGAGCGGGAGUCGGGUGGCCCUCCUGCCCAGGAAUGGCAGGGCCUGCAGGCUCAUCCCUGGCCCUGUCCUCGUCCUGCCGUGUCAUGGCUAACUUCAUUCAUUCAUUCAGCCAGUAGUUAGUCCAUGUCUCUUGUAUGUUUGGCACCUACUAGGUGCCCCCUGAGCUGACCAACAGUGGAAGAGAGAGACUGCACCCAGGGCUCUGUGAGAGGGCAUCCGCACAGGACCUGGCUAGGGUGGGGCUUCCCUGAGGAGCUCAAGUUUCCAGACCUGCAGAGGGGUUGUCCAGGGAACCGGAUGGGGCUUUGGCGUGGGCUCUGAGACGGAGUUGCUGACUGCCUUUGGAACCCCUCCUACUCCCUGCCCCUCCCCUGGGCACCUCCCAGCAUCCUUACCCACCGUGAAGAGCAGGGGUGCAGGGAAGGCCUCUGGAUGGUGACUCGCUUGUGGAAGCCCCCUCCCACCUGCAUCAAUGACCACCCCUCCCCAUCACACACACACGCGCGCGCGCGCGCACGCGGAGACUGCGGACACACAAGGGCUCAGUGGAAUGAGCUGGGACUCCAUCUUCUUGUCCGGCUGUGAUCUGCUGGAGGGCCAGGGGCCAUCUGUCCCGCUAAAAGCCGCAUCCCCGCUGCUCCCGGCACACAGACGUCGCUGUGACUAGAUGAAAGGACAAACGAGGGACAGGCAGAUUUCUGGCCGCCGCGUGGAGAACUUUGAGGAGGUGCUCAG